GGACUACUGGGGUAUCUAAUCCUGUUUGCUCCCCACGCUUUCGUGUCUCAGUGUCAGUGUCUGUCCAGAUAGUCGCCUUCGCCACUGGUGUUCCUUCCAAUAUCUACGCAUUUCACCGCUACACUGGAAAUUCCACUAUCCUCUACAGCACUCUAGCUAUACAGUCUUAAACGCAGUUCCCAGGUUAAGCCCGGGGAUUUCACAUCUAACUUAUAUAACCACCUACACACCCUUUACGCCCAGUAAUUCCGAUUAACGCUCGCACCCUCUGUAUUACCGCGGCGGCUGGCAC
Molecule: ribosomal RNA, 292 nt
Filed under: uncultured bacterium
Lineage: Bacteria
Also listed under: 1 other name
Description: partial 16S ribosomal RNA
Source: RNAcentral